RNAcentral lists this ribosomal RNA (777 nucleotides) under uncultured Dehalococcoides sp. RNAcentral describes it as "bacterial SSU rRNA". It matches the Rfam family "Bacterial small subunit ribosomal RNA", at positions 28 to 829 of the family's 1533-position model. Lineage: Bacteria; Bacillati; Chloroflexota; Dehalococcoidia; Dehalococcoidales; Dehalococcoidaceae. The record is from RNAcentral.
GAUGAACGCUAGCGGCGUGCCUUAUGCAUGCAAGUCGAACGGUCUUAAGCAAUUAAGAUAGUGGCGAACGGGUGAGUAACGCGUAAGUAACCUACCUCUAAGUGGGGGAUAGCUUCAGGAAACUGAAGGUAAUACCGCAUGUGGUGGGCCGACAUAUGUUGGUUCACUAAAGCCGUAAGGCGCUUGGUGAGGGGCUUGCGUCCGAUUAGCUAGUUGGUGGGGUAAUGGCCUACCAAGGCUUCGAUCGGUAGCUGGUCUGAGAGGAUGAUCAGCCACACUGGGACUGAGACACGGCCCAGACUCCUACGGGAGGCAGCAGCAAGGAAUCUUGGGCAAUGGGCGAAAGCCUGACCCAGCAACGCCGCGUGAGGGAUGAAGGCUUUCGGGUUGUAAACCUCUUUUCAUAGGGAAGAAUAAUGACGGUACCUGUGGAAUAAGCUUCGGCUAACUACGUGCCAGCAGCCGCGGUAAUACGUAGGAAGCAAGCGUUAUCCGGAUUUAUUGGGCGUAAAGUGAGCGUAGGUGGUCUUUCAAGUUGGAUGUGAAAUUUCCCGGCUUAACCGGGACGAGUCAUUCAAUACUGUUGGACUAGAGUACAGCAGGAGAAAACGGAAUUCCCGGUGUAGUGGUAAAAUGCGUAGAUAUCGGGAGGAACACCAGAGGCGAAGGCGGUUUUCUAGGUUGUCACUGACACUGAGGCUCGAAAGCGUGGGGAGCGAACAGAAUUAGAUACUCUGGUAGUCCACGCCUUAAACUAUGGACACUAGGUAUAGGGAG